CGGUCUCUUGCCUCGCUCGAUCUGCUGCUGUAUCUGCAGACCUUGAGCUGGAUGCACUCUUGCUUCUUCAUGAAGUAACUGCUGUACGAGACAAGAACAACACCGCGACGAUCUUUGAGUGCGGAGCCGCCUGAUCCAUGUGUCGGACUUCGCAAUUUAUCCGUCGAGACAUAU
This 174-nucleotide small nucleolar RNA is filed under the name Ascochyta rabiei. The record is from RNAcentral. Lineage: Eukaryota; Fungi; Ascomycota; Dothideomycetes; Pleosporales; Didymellaceae.